AUUCCUAUUCAUUCAUUCUACAAUCACAGAAGAGAACAACAGUCUUUGAUUCUACCACCAAGAAUCAAUCAUACAAAAAAUCAACAACAACAACAACAACAAGAGUUUUGCAAUGGCUUCAAGAAUUGUUCCUCAACAACAACCCAGAGGUGUGUGUUUUCUUCAAUCAUACUAAUUUUGAUGUUUCAUUAAUUUUUCUGUGGUUCAAUGUUUUGUUCCAAGAUUGGAACUUUAUUUGAUGUUUCAUUCAUUUUUCUGGGGUUUAAUGUUUUGUUCCAAGAUUGGAACUUUAUUUGAUGUUUCAUUAAUUUUUCUGUGGUUCAAUGUUUCGUUCCAAGAUUGGAACUUUAGUUUCAUGUUUUAAGGGUUUUGUCCCAAAUCCAACAAAAGGGUCUUGAUUUUUUUUCUGGAUUUUCUGUUUGGAUCUGAGAUUUUGGGUUUAAUUAUUUUGCAAUUGGGGGAGGGAAACCGGUGAAAGAGAACGGUGCAGCAGCUUAAGAAAGGAACCGAAGAGCACUUCUUGAUAUUGGAAAUGUUGUCACUCUAAAAGGUGUUGAAGUCAAGCCAAAUCGCCUUGUCACAAGGAGUUUUUGUGCACAACUACUUGCCAAUGCUCAAGCAGCAGCAGUUAAUGAGAAUAACAAGUGUGUUACAGGGGAGAGGGCCUAUAAAUGUAUGGUUUACUAUGGAACCCAUGGCAGCCAGAGGUUCAAAUACUUAGCUUGGGAUUUUGGAUAGUGUCAGAGUUUACAGGGGCUAGAGCCUAUAAAUGUAUAUGUAUCAGGAAUGUAAGUACGAGUGAAGCAAGGAUGAGGAAUUCCCUACAACUUAGUUUGGCACAAGAAUCUGCACUUUCAUUUUGGUUAUCUCUACUCUGAUUAUGAAUUCUUCACGUUUCUUUGUAUUUUUUGAGGAUAUGUUUUUUUAUUACAAGGACCUGUUUUUGCUUUGGUGUUACAGGGGAGAGAGCUAUGAUUGUACUGUGGGAUUUGGAAGCUUUGAGCCUUUGGAUUCUACGGUGUGGUUCGUCAAAAUAAUGAUCUUCUUUCAUCAUAGCAUGGAGCCUCAAGUUUUGGACCGGAGGGAGUAUCUCAUGUUUGAUCUUCCUGUUAUAUAUUCUGAGAUAUGGAAUCUGAAAAUCAAGUUCUUCGGCAACAGUCUCUGUGAAAACGAUGUCAGAGCACCUUUCUACCCAUGUAUAUGAGAAGAAGUUGGAAAAUGGUCAUCAUUUGGUAGAAGAUCAGAAAGCUAUUGAAACACAGACCGACACACCUGUGAAAAAGUCAACAUGAAAAUGUUGAUUCCCUUAUCAAUUGUGUUAUGAAAAAUAUUGGAUUCCAUCAUGGAAAGCCUAUUGCUGCAUUCACCAUUUACAAAUGCCUUCUCCACUGGAAAUCAUUUGAAGCUGAAAGGACAAGUGUAUUUGAUCGCUUUAUCCAGAUGAUUGGUUCUGCAAUUGAGUUAGAAAACCACCAAAUCCAACAUCCCUAUUUGGCAGAACGACUAUGGGUUUUCGGUCAUCUCCUUCGUCUGCCAACCUUCCUACCCCAUCGGAGGUUGUACGCAAAGUAGAGGCUAAGUAUCCUGCUUUGCUUUUCAAGCAACAGCUCACAACCUACGCGGAGAAAAUAUAUGGUAUCUUGUGGGACAACUUGAAGAAAGAGUUGGCAUCAUUUAUUUCGUUAUGUAUCCAGGUUCCUCCUGUCCUAGUCCAAAAGAUCUUCUCUCAAACAUUUUCAUAUAUUAAUGUUCAACUCUUCAACAGAACCGGUUGAGGUUAGAAGACCACGAUACUGCACCAGAACUAACAUAAAAACAUAUCCGGUCCUAAAAGCAACCUUGGCUCCUGAUGUUGAGUGUGGUUCGUCAAAAUAAUGAUCUUCUUUCAUCAUAUCAUGGAGCCUCAAGUUUUGGUUUGCAUAUUUAUUUUUAAAGCAUAUAUUUUAAUGAUAUUUUAUUUCCUCCGGUGUUGCACGGACGAUAAUACUUUUCUUUCUCAUGUUUGAUCUUCCCGUUUUGUAUUCUGAUUCUUUUUUUUUUUUUUAGGUCUUUUGAUUGAGGUUUGAUUUGGUUCUGACUUUGAUACAUGUUAAUCGAAAAACGACGUUUUCUGUAGUGCAUUAUGUUUUGAAACAAUAACAUUUGAUUAGUAUCAAGCCACGAGUUUAUUUUGGUACCUCUCCUUUGAAUGGGAAUUAUUUUCGUUUCUUUUUUUAUCUGGACGAUUCUUGUUGUCUAGUCUUCUGGAUUUGCUCCUCUGUGAUUUACCAUUACGACUUAUUCUUUCUUAUUAAUGUUGAAAACUAUGCAUGAUUUAAGAUUUUUUAUUUUGUUUUUGUUUUCGUGUUUUGGGAGAGCUUGGUGGGCCUAUCUUUCUUAUGCUGAUUUCUGACUUGGUUUGAAGAACUAUGGUAUUGUUCUUUCUUCUUGGUUCUUUUUCUACAAUCUGUUUGUUACAGCCUAAUAUUAAUUUUCUUGUGGUGUUAACAGAGUAAGAUUUACACGGGUUUGGUAUACCACAAAAGUUUUCUGCUUUUUCAAACACCGAACCUUUUGAAUCACCGUCUUAAGUGUCUUAUGUGGAGGAAUCAACCUUACACGUGAACUAUAAUGUUCAGUUGGUUGUGUUGCAUAUUUUUUCUAGGCUUUAAUUUGGUGAUCUGUACUCAUAUUUGAAUUCUUCACAUUUCAUUAUAGUUGUUUCAGCAUCCACACUUGAUUCCUUUGUGAAAGCUUAAGGUGAGGUUAUCAUAUUCUUCCAGUGUUGAAGUUUUUGCGAGUUUCUGUAACGUUUAAACUCAGUGGUUAACAUACAAAAUUCUGGUGUAACUCUUCCCUUCCCAAGGUAAGGAUUUUCAACAACUUGGUUAGGUGGUGUUUGUUAUCAUGACCUGUUUCAUUGGCCCACAAACUCCUCUGGUAUUGAAGUAGGCUUAGUAAGCUUAAAUUGUGACGUUUCAUAUUGACCACACCAUGAUAUUAAAUUGAUAGUGAGGAUAUGAUGUUGAUCGAUAGUAAAUUCUUGUUGUUUCCAUCUUUAGCAUUUCUGAGAGCAUAUAGUUCGUGAUUUGUUAUUUAUUCUUAGGUGUUGCCGGAGAGGAUAUGAUUUUUAUUUAAGUCUUGAUAUGUUUUUCUCAAAAUCAAACUUCUCUUGACUCUUCUUUUACUCAUCAAGAUUUUGUUUUGUAUAAUUUUUUGAUAUAAUUCUUUGUUUGGUAAUCGAAAGAUAUGUUUAUCCAUUUUGCAGCGGGCAAGAGCUUUCGAUGUCUAGAAUGCAUUCAUAAAAUGGACAAGAGCACACAGCCAAUAGUUUUAAUUUGGUGAUCUCUAGUAAAUUCUUUUUGUUUCAAUCUUUAUCGAUUCUGAGAGCAUAAAUUUCAUGAUUUAUUAUUUAUUCUUAGGUGUUGCUGGAGAGGAUUUGAUUUUGAUUUACGUCUGGAUAUGCUCUUAGAAUUUCACACAAUCAAACUUCUCUUGACUCUUCUUUUACUCAACAAGAUUUUGUUUUGUAUAAUUUUUUGAUAUAAUCCGUUGUUUGAUAAUCGAGAGAUGUGUUUAUCCGUUUUGCAGUGGGCUAUGAAGUUUCGAUGGAAUGCCUUGAUAAAAUAGACAAGAACAUGGAGCAUAAAGUUUUAAUUUGGUGAUCUCUAGUAAAUUCUUUUUGUUUAUCCAUUGCAGCGAGCUGAUUUCUGGAUAUCUCGAACAAUUUGGGAUUAUAAUGAAUAAGAACGAUAAUAGCUACUACAGAUGCAUAAUCAAAUUUACUAUAGAUGUUUCAAUAACUCCAUCGCUUGCGAAUGCAUAUUUUCUUGAUAUCUAUGAAUCAGCAUGUGUAGUGUGUUUUGAAACAAUAACAUUAUAAGCAGCAUCAAGCCUCAGGUUUAUUUUGCUACCAUGUACUUGGGUUGUGAACUAUUUUUAUUUUCAUUUCUAUUCUUAUUGUCUAGUCGAUUUACUUCUUGGUCUAUGUUUGGCUUUUUUAUCUGAUUUCUGACAGUGCAAAAGUUUACAUGAUUCUUUAGGAGUUGGGACAACUUGGCGGUCCUCUCUUUGUAAUGUUGAUUCGCGAUUUUGGUACCUCUCUCUGUAACUUCAGAUUUACUCCGUGGUUUUGCACACAACUUCUGGAAUAACUCUUCCCUUCCCAAGGAUUUAGGAAUUUUGGACAACUUGGUUAGGUUAUGUUAAUUUUACUUCAUUGUUUCUCUGUUGAUUCUUGUUGUUUACUCUCUCGAUCUACAGGAGAGAAAUUAAUGAAUGUGCAACUAUGGCGGUGAUUAUAAUUGGUUGGGGGUUUGGUUUAAUACUACUUAUUAAGCAUCUUUCAUGGUGUAUAUUUUCUUACAAUUGCUUUAAUACUAUUUUUUUUCAAGUUUAUUUCAUUCUUGAGAAUCUGUGUAUAUUUGUCAAGACCCAAUACUAACUCAUAUUUAGUCUGCUAAGCCUAGCCUUUACACUUUGUUAACUUUUCCUCUCUGCUGGGAUUAAUUUGGCAAUGCAAAUUUAGUUUUGAACAUUUCUGCUGGGAUUAUUCUUUGCAAGUUUGGGCGAGAUUAUCAGAUAAUGGCGAUUCAUCAUUGGGAUGUAAUGGCGAUUAUCAAAUUUCUUCGAUGAGUAAUUCUUUAUUAUUUUUACUUUUGAGCUUUGAAUGUAAGACAAAAAUUGAAUGUUGUGUACCUGUUCUUAUGCAGUGUGGUUUUGUCAAAAUAAUGAUGUUCUUUCAUCAUAGCAAUGGAGCCUCAAGUUUUUGUUUGCACAUCUCAUUCAAAAGCAUAUUUUGUUGAUAUUUUAUUUCAUCUGGUGUUAUCAUUUUCUUUCUCUUGUUUGAUCUUCCGAUUUUGUAUUCUGGUUCUUUUUUCUGGUCAUUUGAUUUUGAGGUUUGAUUUGGUUCUGGGUUUGAUACAUGUUAAUUGAAAAAUGACAUUGUUUUCUGCAGUGCAACGUGUUUUGGAACAAUAAUAUUUGAGUAGUGUCAAGCCUCAGGUUUAUGUUGGAACCUCUACUUGUAAUGUGAAAUAUUUUCAUUUUAUUUUUUAUCUGUUGAUUCUUAUUGUCUAGUCUUCUGGAUUUUCUCCUUGAUGAUUUAACCAUUAAUACUUAUUUUUUGUUUUGAAUGUUCACAUACUUCCUGUUCAGCCUAUAAUAAUGUGUGGCUUCUGGGAUCCAGUGGCAGGAAGAGGUUCACAUACUUUCUGCUCAGCCUUGGGAUAGUGUUGGAGCAUGAGUGUGAAGCAUUUAAGAUUCCAGAGUAAAUCUCUUUGCCAUUCCCAAGGAUGAGGAAUUCUUGACAAGCUUGGUUUGGCACUUUUCUUUCCUGUUGAUUUGCUACUUCCUUUGUUAUAAUUUAUUGUUCAUAUCAACUUUCAACUGCCAUGCUUAAUGUUGCUUCCUUUUUUUGUUAAAUAAGUUAAUGAUGGUUCCAACCAGUGCAAUUGGUAUUGUAAUUACCUCAUUGUAAUUACCUCAAGGUAAUUACAAUACCAAUUGCACAUUAAUAAGAAUCAACCAGUGUUAAAUAAGUUAUUUUUUAUCUGUUGCUUCCUUUUUUAAUGUUGCUUCCUUUUUAUCUGGUUGGAAUAAUGUUGCUUCCUUUUUUCAAUUUGUAUUGUAAUUACCUCAUUGGAGUCAAUCAAGUUAGCAAUCCUUGCAAGCUCCUCAAUGAUCCGCUGGUUUACUCCAACCAGUGCAUUAUUUUCCAAUAUGAUUUUAUAUCGUACUAUAUACAAAAGGAUUUGGUAGAUAGGUAAACAGAGAGAGAGAGUGAUUGAUUGUAAAAUUGAUAUAUUAUACAAAAGGGUUAUAGUGUUCCAUUUUUCAUUUUGAAAUACUCAAGACAACACUAAAUCUUUAUGUUUUCCAUUUUUCGCUUUUAUUUUCAGAUUUUUUCCUUGAGGAAGUUUUCAACGACACUUUUGACAUAUGAUGAGACAUCUCAUUUAUUUUUUAAUGAAUGCAACGAAAUGUACUAAGUGAAUGUUUACUGUUGUUAUUGUUGGUGAGACCAGAGGAGUGUCGGGAGCAGCAGACUCUGAUACAUCUCCAUCAAAAGCAACGAGAGUAACAACGGGACAGCGUCGAAAGCAACAAUGAGCCGCAUCUCUAUCAAAACCUUAAAGCAUUAGGGGUACAUGGAUUUGGUGGUAACAGGGUUACAUGGAUUUGGUGUAUGUCCUUUCUCAAAUGUACUGCAACAUGUUAAUUUCGCUGACCGAAGUGGAGAAAUUGGAGAUGAGUGCUUCUGCAGUAUGUUAUAUAUUUUUAACUGUUGCUUAGCCUAAUUGGGCAUGAUUAUCAUUAUUCAUCAUUGCCAUUGGGAUAUAAUUGGUCUUUUUUUGAUAUGUUUAUGUAUUUGUUUUCGAAGAAUUGUUCUUAGCUUGUGGACAGGUUGGUGUGUUGAAGUUUGUGUUUCUUCUGGUGUUGGAGUUUGUGUGUUUCAGAAUUCGGAACCUGCUCUUCCCAAGAUGAAGAAUUUUGGACGACUUGGUUACAUCGGAGGUGUUGUUUACUCGUUAGGAGAGUGGUCCGGGACUCCUGUGUUAGGAGGAAGCCAAAGUCACACAUAAUCUGCAGGCUUUAAUUUGGUUAUCUCUUCGAAGACACCUAAUAAGAUACCCUCUUCAUUAGAGUGGCCAUAGGACUCCUCAGUAUUAGGUGGAAGCCAAAAUUGUAUUAUUUAAUAGGGCUACAUGAUCUUGCAAAUUGGAUGGAAAUUUGGUCAACUCUUCUAAGAAUCUUUACAUUUCAAUAUUUUUUUGAUACUCAGCAUAUACUUUUGUCGGUUCCUGAGUUUUCUUUGUGGGUGUUGCAGGGGAGAGAGCCUAUAAAUAUGUGCUUCACUAUGGAACCCGUGGCAGACGGAGGUUCACUGUUUCUUUUUUUUACUUGUUACUUUGGUCUCCUGAUGUUGAGGUUAUUUUCAAAACAGAGAAAUAAAACUAAAAAAGUUAGCAAUCCUUGCAAGCCCCUCAAUGAUCUGCUUGUUUACUCCAAACAGUGCAUUAUUGUCCAAUAUGAUUUUACAUCCUACUACAAAGGAUUUGGUAGAAAGGUGAAUGGGCAAUUGCUUAACUUGAGAGGAAUGCAAGUUCCUUGCAAUUCUGAUCACCGAAUUGGGUUACAUUGAUUUGGUUUAUUUCACAAGUGUCCUUUCUCAAAUCUGCAAAAUGUUAAUUUUUAUGUCCGAAGUGAAGAAAUUGGAGAUGAGUACCUCUGCGAUACAUUUUUCGGGAUAGUGUUGGGGCAUGAGUGUGAAGCAUUUAAGAUUCCAGAGUAAUGCUCUUUGCCAUCCCCAAGGAUGAGGAAUUCUUGACAAGCUUGCGAGUUGAAGUCUUUGGAUAUGUAGAACAAAUUACGAUUCUUGAUUAAAUUAAAUGGUUGAGAACGGAGAACACAUCCAGAUAAAUCAAAUUUCUUCAAUUUCUUCAAUGACGGGCUAAGAAGUUUCGAUAUCUAGAAUGUGUUGAUAAAAUGGACAAGAACAUGUAGCCAAGAGUUUUAAUUUGGUGAUCUCUGCGGGCUAAGAAGUUUCGAUGUCUAGAAUGACUUGAUAAAAUGGACAACAAUGAAGAAAGAUUCAAUAUAGAUAAAUCAAAUUUCUUCAUGUUCUGUAUUCUUAUUCUUUUCUGCUUGAUAAUUUGGUAUUUUGGUUGUGCUUGGUUUCAUUCUUGGAGUUGCUGGUUUUAUUGUUUGAUUUAAUUAAUAUUAUUAUCAAGUUCAUUUUGGUUUUAAUAGACUUGUUCUUCCAAUUCCUCUUAUUUUUCAGAUAUUAUUCUUCGAGUACAAAUGGGUGUUUUGCUUUUAAUCUGUUGGCAACACGCUGGAGUUCUGAUUUGAAUUUUUCCUUUUUACGAAGCUUGAUGCAUGAUUAUCACCCUCGGGUUGAAGUUUUUGUGAAGCUUACUGCAGGGUAUUGUGUUUUGACAUCAUUAGAUAUAUUUUGGUAAACUUUUCAAUUCCUCUAUUCUCUUUGGACUCAAGCCUUGGUCUGUUUUCUUAUAUUGGGACUCAAUUCCUCUAUUCUCUCUUUGUAACUAUGAUAUUCUGAUCAGCGACUUGGUUUGGAGAAUUAUGCUACUAUUAUUUCUUUAUUCUUGGUUUUUUUACAACUACUUGUAAUAGUGUAAUUUUGUUGUACAUAUCUGAUGUUCACAGGGUUACAUGGAUUUAUUGCAUUUCAUAAGUGUGUCCUUUUUCAAUUGCACUGCAACAUGUUAAUUUUAUUGUUCUCCUUCUAAUUUCUUUUCAAUCAAAGGGUUAACUUGUUCUAAUUUCUUUUCAAUCAAAGGGUUAACUUGUUCAUUUCUUUGUUAGUUUGGAAACACAAAAAUGCGGCUUGGUUGUGCAUGACGAACAAAGGGUAAGGUAAUUAGCUUUUGGAAGCUGCAAAUGGUGAACAUGUAAAAGCUUCAAAUGUUGAUACUAUUUUAUUUUAUUCUUGUUUGGUUUUAUAACAUGAUUAUAUGCUACCUUGCCUCUAGAGUUUGUGGUUUUAUUAUAUGCUAUCCUUUUGUAUUUCUUGUGCAUAUAGGAUAGUGAUUUUUAAUUCAAUUUGAUGUUUAAAAAAAAAAUGGUCUGCUUCUACUAAACUGGGGCUGGUGGUCCUUGUAUAAUGUUACAUAUUUUGUUGUGUAUAUUGUGUUUAAGUUAUAUGGACAUAGGCUUAACUAGCUCUAAGAUUGUGUUUGUAGUGUCUCUUUGUAAAUGUUGGUUUUGUAAUUAAAGUUAUUGACAUAUAAAUGGUGGUUGAUUGUUUGGGUUUCUAUUUUGACUAUAUCACUAGGAAUGAGAAAUAGAUAAAAUCAAAUAUGAGGAAGAUGUGCUGCUCUUUUCUCUUCCUAGAUCCUUUGAAUCUAUUCACUUAAAUAUUUAGGUUACCAUCAUAAGGGCCUUGCAACAAGUCUCUUGAUUGUGCACCAAAUAUGUUAAGGGUCAUGCUUCUGAUGAUUUUUUGGGUUUUUUACCUCUUGUCGCAGUGCAGCAUGUUUGCAGUGCCUUCUUCAUGGUACCCUGCUCUGCUCCGGCUAAGUUUGAACCAGAUCUAACAAUGAUAGAGCUGCUUAUUUUUUUAAAAAAAAAUUAGAACUUAUUAACUCGGUUAUUUCAUUACCCGUCUUAAGAACUUGUUUUCUUAAGUCAGUGCAAAAUCCGACUUAACAGACCAAAACUUGUUAUGUCACCUUUUAUUAAGUCAGGUUCGGAACUGACUUAAAAAGCAUUUUUUAUACUAGUGUUUGGUUUGCAUAUUUCUUUUUAAGCAUAUAUAUAUUUUCUUGAUAUUUUAUUUCCUUUGGUGUUGCAGGGACGAUAAUAAUUUUCUAUCUCUUGUUUGAUCUUCCGGUUUUGUAUUCUGAUUCUUUUUUUUUUUCUGGUCUUUUGAUUGUGAGGUUUGAUUUGGUUCUGAUGUGAUACAUGUUAAUUGAAAAACGACGUUGUUUUCUGCAGUGCAGUAUGUUUUGAAACAAUAACAUUUGAUUAGUACCUCAGGUUUAUUUUGGUACCUCUACUUUGAAUGUGAUUUAUUUGUUUCUUUUUUAUCUGGCCCAUUCUUGUUGUCUAGUCUUCUAUUUUAAUGAUCAGCGCCUACUAUGAAUUGUUUGGGUUUUAAUUGAUUGCUCUUCCAAUUCUCGUUUGAUUAUAUGUGUAAUCUUUUUGAUUUGUUGAUAUAAUUUGUCGUCCAAUAAAUUUGCUAUCGUUGUUAAAAAUAAAAAGAAUAUUGAGAUAUUCGUUGAUCCAUUUUUGCAAUGAGCUUAUUUCUGAUUUUUGGAUAUCUAGAACAAUUUGCAAUUCUUGAUGAUAAUGAACAAGAAUGAUAAUGGCUACAGAUACAUGGAUAACAUUUCUUUGAUGAGUCGUUCUUUGUUAUUUUAUUUUUGAGCUUUGAAUGUAAGAUACAAAUUGAAUGUUGUUUACCGUUCUUAUGCAGUGUGGUUUUGUCAAAAUAAUGAUAUUCUUUCAUCGUACCAUGGAGCCUCAAGUUUUGGUUUGCAUAUUUCUUUUUAAUGCAUAUUUUCUUGAUAUUUUAGUUCCUCCGGUGUGUUAAUUUUCUUUCUCUUGUUUGAGCUUCCGAUUUUGUAUUUUGGUUCUUUUUUCUGCAGCGCAGUGUGUUUUGAAAUAAUAACAUUUGAGUAGUAUCAAGCCUCAGGUUUAUUUUGGAACCUCUACUUGGAAUUUGAAUUCUUUUCAUUUCAUUUAUCAGUCAAUUCUUAUUGAUUUACCAUUAAAACUUAUUUUUUCUUAUGAAUGUUCACAUACUAUCCGUUCAGCCUAUAUGUGUGGCUUGCUAGGUUAGGGAUCCAGCUGCAGGAAGAGGUUCACAUAGUAUCAGCUCAGCCUUGGGAUAAAACAAUUGUUUUACUUGAAUGUGCGUAUUUGUUUUGGGAUAGUGUUGGAGCAUAAGUAUGAAGCAUUUAAGAUUCCAGAAUAAAUCUCUCUGCCAUCCCCGAGGAUGAGGAAUUCUUGACAAGCUUGGUUUGGCACUUUUUUGUCCUGUUGAUUUGCCACUUCCUUUGUUAUUAUUUUUUAUUUCUAUUUUCUUGCCAUUAUUUAGGAAAUGGUUGUUUUGGCAUACUUUUUUUGCUCUCUUGACUCUUGUUUUAUGAAGAAUUGUUUGCAUAACUUUUGGAUAUAAUUCUUCAUUGGAUGAUUGAGAGGUAUGUGUUUAUCCAUUUUGCAGCGAGAUGAGGUCUUUGGGUAUGUAGAACAUUUUGUGAUUCUUGAUUAAAUGGUUAAGAACGGACAACAGAUCCAGAUAAAUGAAGAAUUAUAUCCAAAAGAAACAUUUCUUUAAUGGGUCAUUCUUUAUCAUUUCUAUUUCGUCGCUUUGAUGGCAAGACAUACAAAUCGAGCAGUGAAAAUGUUUUUCUGCAGCACACGACUUCUUAAGAGCAUGGAGCCUAGAGUUUUAAUUUGGUGAUCUCUAGUAAAUUCUUUUUGUUUCAAUCUUUAUCGAGUCUGAGAGCAUAUAUUUCAUGAUUUGUUAAUUAUUCUUCGUUGUUGCAGGAGAGGAUAUGAUUUUGAUUUACAUCUUGAUAUGCUUUUCUCAGAAUUUCACACAUUGAAACUGCUCUCGACUCUUCUUUUACUCAACAAGAUUUUGCUUUGUAUAAGUUUUUGAUAUAAUUCUUUGUUUGAUAAUCGAGAGAUGCGUUUAUCCAUUUUGCAGCGGGAUAAGAAGUUUCGAUGUGUAGAAUGCCUUUGAUAAAAUGGACAAGAACAUGGAGCCUACAGUUUUAAUUUGGUGAUCUCUAGUAAGCUCUUUUGGUUUCAAUAUUUAUGAUUCUGAGAGCAUAUAUUUCAUGACUUGUUAUUUAUUCCUUGGUGUUGCAAGAGAGGAUAUGAUUUUGAUUUAUGUCUUGAUAUGCUUUUCUCAGAAUUUCACACAAUCAAACUUCUCUUAAUUCUUUGGUUGAUAAUCGAGAGAUGCGUUUAUCUGUUUUGCAGCGGGCUAAGAAGUUUCGAUGUCUAGAAUGGCUUGAUAAAACUUCUCUUGACUCUUCUUUUUCUUAAAAAUAUUUAAUUUGUAUAAUUUUUUGAUAUAAUUCUGUGUUUGAUAAUCGAAAGAUGCAUUUAUCCGUUUUGCAGCGGGUUAAGAAGUUUCGAUGUCUAGAAUGGCUUGAUAGAAUGGACAAGAACAUGGAGCCUAGAGUUUUAAUUUGGCGAUCUCUAGUAAAUUCUUUUUGUUUCAAUCUUUAUCGAUUCUGAGAGCAUAUAUUUCAUGAUUUGUUAUUUAUUCUUUGGUGUUGCAAGAGAGUAUAUGAUUUUGAUUUACGUCUUGAUAUGCUUUUCUCAGAAUUUCACACAAUCCGACUUGGUUUCAUUCUUGGAGUUUGCUUGCUUUUAUUGUAAUGAUUUGAUAUUAUUACUGAGUUUGUUAUAGUUUUAAUUGACUUGUUCUUCUAAUUCCGCUUAUGUUUCAGAUAUUAUUCUUCGUGUAUCGAUGGGUGGUUUUUGUUUAAUCUGUUGGCAACACGUUGGAGUUCUGAUGUUAAUUUUUCUUUUUUGUGAAGCUUGAUGCAUGGUUAUCACCUGUGGUUGAACUUCCUAUUUUGUGAAGCUUACUGAAGGGUUAUUUCUUUCUGUCAUAGCCUUACUAGCAGGCUGGUUACACCUACAACCGAAAUGGAAACCGAGCGUUUCGUGGUUUAAAAAUGCCGAAUCCCGCCUUAAUCAUCAUUUGUCAGGACUAUUUGGAGUCAGUGUGUUUUAAAAUCAUUAGAUAUAUUAUGGGUUACAUGGAUUUGUUGUAUUUCAUAUAUAAGUGUCCUUUCUUAAUCGCACUGCAACAUGUUAAUUUUGUUGUCCGAAGUGGAGAAAUUGGAGACGAGUGCCUUUGUGAUAUGUUUUUUCUGGCUCUGUUAUAUAUUUUCAACCGUUGCUUGGCUUAAUUUGGCAAUCUGAACAAUUUUGCAAUCAUGCUCCUUGGUUCUUCUCUGCAAGCCUGGGGGAGAUUAUCAGUAUUCAUCAUCAGGAUAUAAUUGGUCAUUUUAUAAUUGCUAGUGUUGAAGUUUGUGUGUUUCAGUAUGCAAAACAUGAGUACAGUAUUCUGGAAUAACUCAUUUGCCUUUCCUGAGAUGAAGUAUUUUGGACGAUGUAGGUGCCAUUUGUCUGAUGACUUGGUAAUGACUCGUUGGGAAAGUUUUCUUUAAUCUUCUUUUACUUGUUUGAGUGGUUUCAAUUGGUAUUAGUUAUUUAGAUGGUGAUGAUGUUGAUACUCCAAAAAAGAUAUCCUUUUGGUUAUAGUGGUCCAAGACUCCUCUUUGUUAGGAGGAAGCCAAAAUUGUGUCACACAUCAUUUGCUUAUCUCUUCUAAGACUCUUUCCAUUUCAGUCUACGUUUGAUACUCAGCAUCUACUUUUGUCAGUUUCGUUAAGUUUUCUUUGUGGGUGAAACAGGGGAGAUAACCUCUGCAUGCCCAUGGAACCUGAGGCAGGCAGAGGCUCUCAUAUUAAUUUGUGCUUUAGGAACAAUAUUAUGAAGCAUUCCCGUAAGAUGAAGAAUUCCAGACAGUUUGGUUUGGCACUAUUUUGUUGUGUUGAUCUACCGAUUCCUAUUUUGUGCUUCAUAAUUUGUUUCUUCUAUUUUCUUGUCAUUUGUGAUAUAUAAGAAUAAUAAUCCUCUCUCUCAAAUAGUUAUUCCUUACAAAAUCUGGAAUUGGAGCAAGAACUUGGUAUAGGAUUUGGUUGGAUGAAUGUCUAUUGUUGUUGUUGUUGUGCCCAAUGGAGCACAAGAAUCUGCAAUUGUCUGUUGUUGGUUGUGCUUUCAUUUGGUGAUUUCUACUCUAUGAAUUCUUCACACUUCUUGUCGCUUUGAGGAUCUCGUUUUCUCGAGUUUCCUUUGGGUUUUACAGGUGGAUAUGUGCUAUGAAAGUUGUGGCGGAGAUUAUCAAGGAUGUGUUUUUGCUUUUGUGUACAGGUUUAAGAGGCUAUGACUGUACUGUGGCCAUUCAAAAGAUGCAGUGAACAUUGGAGGUGCUUUGAGCCUUUGGAUUAAACGGAAGAUGUACAAUUCCUUCGGCUUCUAUCAACUGCCUCUGCGCUUUGUACUACUUGCAUUCAUGCUUCUCUCAUUCCUUCUUGGGAUAUAAUUGGUCUUUUUCUUACUUAUAUGUAUUUGUUCCCGAAUGAUAGUUCUUUGAUUGCGUGCAAGCUGGUGUUGAAGCUGUUUAUUUCAGUGUCCAGAACCUGAGUAGUACUCUAUCAUAAGAUAUUAUCAAGGACAUUCUUGCUUUGGUGUUACAGGGGAGAGAGCCUGUGAAUGUUUUAGCUUUGGUCAAUUUUCCUUGAAUCAACUUGGUGGGCCUCUCUUUGUACUUCUGAUCUGCGACUUGGUUUGAGGAAUUAUGAUACUAUUCUUUCUUAUUGAGUACAACAUGAUAUUGCAAAUUAGAAUGAAAUUUGUUGUGCAGAUGGUGUUGUAAGCUUUAAUUUGGUCAUCUCUACUAAGAAAGACUCUUCAUAUUUAUAUCUUUUUUAUACUCAGCAACUAUUAUGCGAGACAUCUAUGAAUGUGUGGUGUACUGUGGACUGUGGCUAGCAGAGGUUAAAUACUAUCUAUUCAGUUUUGGGAUAAAAUUAGUAAUUUUUUUUGCAUAUCUCUAUUUGUUUUGGGAUUGAAGAUAUGCUUAUGAUGGUGUCCUGUCAAUUCAAAUAUCUUCAAUAAGGCAUUCUUUAUCAUUUCUAUUUCUUUUCUUUGAUGGCAAGACAUACAAAUUGAACGGUGAAAAUGAUGUUCUGCGCACGGCUUCUUCAGAGCAUGAAGCCUAGAGUUUUAAUUUGGUGAUCUCUUGUAAAUUCUUUUUGUUUCUAUCUUUAUUGAUUCUGAGAGCAUAUAUUUCAUGAUUUGCUAUAUAUUCUUUGGUGUUGCAGGAGACAAUAUGAUUUUGAUUUACGUCUGGAUAUGCUUUUCUCAGAAUUUCACACAAUCAAACUUCUCUUGACUCUCAUAUCAUGAUUUUUGUAUAACUUUUUGAUAUAACUCUUCGGUUGGUAAUCGAGAGAUGUGUUUCUCUGUUUUGCAGCGGGCUAAGAAGUUUCGAUGUCUAGAAUUACUUGAUAAAAUGGACAAGAACGGAGAUAUUCAAUAUAGAUAAAUCAAAUUUCUUCAUGUUCUACAUUCUUAUUCUUUUCUGCUUAUAAUUUGAUAGGUGCUUUGCGUUUAAUCUGUUGGCAACUCGCUGGAGUUCUGAUGUGCAUUUUCCUUUUUUACGAAGCUUAAUGCAUGAUUAUCACCCUCUGGUUGAACUCUAUAAUUUUGUGAAGCUUACUGCAAGUGAAUAAGUUUUGGAGAAAUUGGGACAGUUUUGUGGGGCUCUCUUUGUAACUAUGAUAUUCUGAUCAGCGACUUUGUUCGGAGAAUUAUGCUACUAUUAUUUCUUUAUUCUUGGUUUUUCUACAUUUACUUGUAAUUUUGUAGUAGAGUUACAUGGAUUUGUUGUAUUUCAUUAGUGUCCUUUCUCAAUCGCACCGCAACAUGUAAACUAUGUUGUCCGUAGUGGAGAAAUUAGAGAUGAGAGCCUUUGCGAUAUGUUUUUCUGGCUCUGUUAUAUAUUUUCAACUCUUGCUAGGCUUAAUUUGGCAAUCUGAACUUAGAUCUGAAUAUUUCAGCAAUCUGAACUUAGAUCUGAAUAUUUCAGCAAUCAUGCUUCUUGAUUCUUCUAUGCAAGCUUGGGGGAGAUUAUCAGUAUUCAUCAUUCGGAUAUCUUUGGUCAUAUUUUUUAUAUGUAUUUGUUUUCGAAUAAUUAUUCUUAGAUUGUGUACAAGCUGGUGUUAAGGUUUGUGUGUUUCAGUAUGCAAAACUUGAGUACAGUUUCCUGGAAUAACUCUUUUCCCUUCUAGAGAUGAAGAAUUUUGGACGACAUGGGUGUUGUUUGUCUGAUAAUUUGAUCGUUGGAAAAGGUUUUCUAUUAUCUUCUUUUACUGGUUUGAGUGGUUUCAAUUGUUAUUAAUGAUUUAAAUGAUGAUUGAUACUGAUGAUACUCCUAAAAAGAUAUCCUUUUGGUUACAGAGGUCCGGGACUCCUUUGUGUUAAGAGGAAGCCAAAAUUGUGUCACAUCAUGUGCCGGCUUUAAUUGGGUUAUCUCUUCUAAGACUCUUUACAUUUCAGUCUAUGUUUGAUACUCAGCAUCUAAUAUUGUCAGUUUCAUUUAGUUUUGUGUGUGGGUGAAACGGGAGAUAACUAGUAAAUGUGUGGGGUGCCUGUGGAACCUGAGGCGGACAGAGGUUCUAAUACUUUUUUUGUGCUUUAGGAACGUCAGUAUUACAUUUUCAAAACAACGAAGGCAGAUAUUGCACGAACGAGUAGUAGCUAAUCUAUGGCACCCAGGUCAGUAUUAGAUUUUAUUGCGACCAAGUUUCAAAUGAUGAACAAUACCUAGGGUUUCCUUCUCUUUUUUUUCCAAUCUAAAUUGUGAGCUUUCGUGAUUUGGUUUGUGUGUCCUAACUUUUGGUUUUAUGGUAUUGAAUUAAGAAAUAGUGGUAAGAAAUAUGCGUACAUUCCUUUCAAUCUUCUUGUAUGGUCUUCUUUUAUUGUUAAGAAAAAUAUAAGAUAUUUUGCAUAAUCUACUUGGUUAGGAAACUCUAGAGCCAACAUGAAUGCAUGCCAGAGAUUGCUUAAACAUUAGUCGCGCAGUCUUCUAGGUGGUUUUGCCAAAAAAAUAAAAUAAAUGAUGAUGCUACCGGUUCUGCAAAAAUCGUUUUUUUAAUUGGUUAAAUGUAUGUGCACCAUACUUAACUGAUUACCCCCAAGAGGGACAAGGCAGCAUCACAUAGCAGAAUUUCAGUGAUGACAAAUAGGAAUUUUUUGCAGUACUAAACAUGUCUUAUUUCUUCUCAUACUAAAUAUCAUUUUACUUAUUGUGUUAAAAUUUGUAAUAACCUUAUCAUAAAAGGCACUUAAAUAAAUGGAAAAUAUCUUGAUAAUGCACAGGUCGAGACAACUUGUGAAAAAAACUAUGCUUUUAAUUAGAAGUGGGUGUACCAAGGGUUAAACUCUAGACUACUUGUUCAUUAAGGCUUUGAUACCAUAUCUAGAACCAACUAUCUCAAAAGCUUGUGAAUGGUAUCAAAGUAUCUUAACAAUGGUAUUGUCGUAUUGGUACCCCAAGUGUCUGAGAGACCUAGAGACCUAGUAAUUCUCCUAUUAGAGCCCUACUUAUAUCUUCUUAUGUAUUGUGGGUCUACCAACAUAAGUGACUCGCCAUGUUAGUGUUGACUUGAUCAAAAUUAGACUUUUGCAAAAGUGGAUAAACAUAAGGGUCAGAAGUGCUAUU
Molecule: long non-coding RNA, 16765 nt
Organism: Trifolium pratense (red clover)
Lineage: Eukaryota; Viridiplantae; Streptophyta; Magnoliopsida; Fabales; Fabaceae
Exons: 30
Source: RefSeq, a predicted model, not a curated record